Amphiprion ocellaris (clown anemonefish) is the source of this 360-nucleotide long non-coding RNA. NCBI's taxonomy places the organism in Eukaryota, Metazoa, Chordata, Actinopteri, Pomacentridae. The record is from Ensembl.
AGCUGUGGGGGAACUAAUGAUUGGUUUGGCCGUUGCAGCAGGGGGUUCAAAUUGAUUGACGGACGUAGCUCCAGUAUACUCCUGAACACUCCUGGACAGACCAGUCUUCUGUGGCUGCAGUGCAGAGUCUGCUGACGUGUCUCUGCUUAUCGGCGGCGUCAUGCGUGUGUAGGGUCGGACAUCCGAGGACCUUCCUACAAUUCUGGAUGAGCAGUGAAGUUGACAUCGUGGGGUGUACUCCACCAGGGUAAGCAUGGAACUCCAUUAUCUGUAAGAGUCAAUCUUAUUAUUAUUAACAGACAGGCAAUCUCAUUGAAAACUGAGAUUACUCUACACCAUGGCUUUCUAUAAAAUACAGAG